RNAcentral lists this ribosomal RNA (504 nucleotides) under uncultured bacterium. Its description in RNAcentral is "partial 16S ribosomal RNA". It matches the Rfam family "Bacterial small subunit ribosomal RNA", at positions 28 to 523 of the family's 1533-position model. The record is from RNAcentral.
GAUGAACGCUAGCGGCAGGCCUAAUACAUGCAAGUCGAACGGGAUCUGAGGGUAGCUUGCUACCCGAUUUGAGAGUGGCGCACGGGUGCGUAACGCGUGAGCAACCUACCCAUAUCAGGGGGAUAGCCCGAAGAAAUUCGGAUUAACACCGCAUAAUAAUACGCUAACACAUGUUGAUGUAUUUAAAUAUUUAUAGGAUAUGGAUGGGCUCGCGUGACAUUAGCUAGUUGGUAAGGUAACGGCUUACCAAGGCGACGAUGUCUAGGGGCUCUGAGAGGAGAAUCCCCCACACUGGUACUGAGACACGGACCAGACGCCUACGGGAGGCAGCAGUAAGGAAUAUUGGUCAAUGGGCGCAAGCCUGAACCAGCCAUGCCGCGUGCAGGAUGACUGCCCUAUGGGUUGUAAACUGCUUUUGUUAGGGAAUAAACCUUCUUACGUGUAAGGAGCUGAAUGUACCUAAAGAAUAAGGAUCGGCUAACUCCGUGCCAGCAGCCGCGGUAA